RNAcentral lists this small nuclear RNA (103 nucleotides) under Castor canadensis (American beaver). The record is from RNAcentral. Lineage: Eukaryota; Metazoa; Chordata; Mammalia; Rodentia; Castoridae.
GUGCUUCGGCAGCACAUAUACUAAAAUUGGAAUGGUACACAGAAGAUUAGCAUGGCCCCUGUGCAAGGAUGACAGGCAAAUUCGUGAAGCGUUCCAUAUUUAA